RNAcentral lists this ribosomal RNA (1425 nucleotides) under uncultured Alphaproteobacteria bacterium. RNAcentral's name for it is "uncultured alpha proteobacterium 16S ribosomal RNA". It matches the Rfam family "Bacterial small subunit ribosomal RNA". Lineage: Bacteria; Pseudomonadati; Pseudomonadota; Alphaproteobacteria. The record is from RNAcentral.
AGAGUUUGAUCAUGGCUCAGAACGAACGCUGGCGGCAGGCCUAACACAUGCAAGUCGAGCGCACCUUCGGGUGAGCGGCGGACGGGUUAGUAACGCGUGGGAACGUGCCCUUCUCUAAGGAAUAGCCACUGGAAACGGUGAGUAAUACCUUAUACGCCCUUCGGGGGAAAGAUUAAUCGGAGAAGGAUCGGCCCGCGUUAGAUUAGAUAGUUGGUGGGGUAACGGCCUACCAAGUCUACGAUCUAUAGCUGGUUUUAGAGGAUGAUCAACAACACUGGGACUGAGACACGGCCCAGACUCCUACGGGAGGCAGCAGUGGGGAAUCUUGGACAAUGGGCGCAAGCCUGAUCCAGCCAUGCCGCGUGAGUGAUGAAGGCCUUAGGGUCGUAAAGCUCUUUCGCCAGGGAUGAUAAUGACAGUACCUGGUAAAGAAACCCCGGCUAACUCCGUGCCAGCAGCCGCGGUAAUACGGAGGGGGUUAGCGUUGUUCGGAAUUACUGGGCGUAAAGCGUACGUAGGCGGAUUAGUCAGUCAGAGGUGAAAUCCCAGGGCUCAACCCUGGAACUGCCUUUGAUACUGCUAGUCUUGAGUUCGAGAGAGGUGAGUGGAAUUCCGAGUGUAGAGGUGAAAUUCGUAGAUAUUCGGAGGAACACCAGUGGCGAAGGCGGCUCACUGGCUCGAUACUGACGCUGAGGUACGAAAGUGUGGGGAGCAAACAGGAUUAGAUACCCUGGUAGUCCACACCGUAAACGAUGAAUGCCAGUCGUCGGGUAGCAUGCUAUUCGGUGACACACCUAACGGAUUAAGCAUUCCGCCUGGGGAGUACGGUCGCAAGAUUAAAAACUCAAAGGAAUUGACGGGGGCCCGCACAAGCGGUGGAGCAUGUGGUUUAAUUCGAAGCAACGCGCAGAACCUUACCAACCCUUGACAUCCUGUGUUACAUCCAGAGAUGGAUGGUUCCCUUCGGGGACGCAGUGACAGGUGCUGCAUGGCUGUCGUCAGCUCGUGUCGUGUGAUGUUCGGUUAAGUCCGGCAACGAGCGCAACCCACAUCCCUAGUUGCCAGCAGUUCGGCUGGGCACUCUAUGGAAACUGCCCGUGAUAAGCGGGAGGAAGGUGUGGAUGACGUCAAGUCCUCAUGGCCCUUACGGGUUGGGCUACACACGUGCUACAAUGGCAUCUACAGUGAGUUAAUCUCCAAAAGAUGUCUCAGUUCGGAUUGUUCUCUGCAACUCGAGAGCAUGAAGUCGGAAUCGCUAGUAAUCGCGUAACAGCAUGACGCGGUGAAUACGUUCCCGGGCCUUGUACACACCGCCCGUCACACCAUGGGAGUUGGUUCUACCCGACGACGCUGCGCUAACCUUCGGGAGGCAGGCGGCCACGGUAGGAUCAGCGACUGGGGUGAAGUCGUAACAAGGUAGCCGUA